This 279-nucleotide unclassified non-coding RNA is filed under the name uncultured Russula. Its description in RNAcentral is "sequence contains ITS2". The record is from RNAcentral. Lineage: Eukaryota; Fungi; Basidiomycota; Agaricomycetes; Russulales; Russulaceae.
AAUCAUCAAAAACCCUUUUCUUUGAUCCAUCUUUUUGGCCCAGUAGAAGGAUUUUUGGACUUGGAGGUUUCAUGCUUGCUUUCUCUUUUGAAAGUGAGCUCCUCUCAAAUGAAUUAGUGGGGGUCUGCUUUGCUGAUCCUUGACGUGAUAAGAUGUUUCUACGUUUUGGACUUGAGCAUUGUACUUUGGGACACCUGCUUCUAACCGUCUUUCGGACAAACAAUGGUGCUCCGGUCACCGCCAUCUACAUCGGCGGGGGAGGCUGGACCCACAAUAAAA